UACCACACAGGAAGUACGUCGUGGGAAGUAAACCGGUGUCAACAUGAAGAAAUAUUGACGAAUAUUAUCUGAAGUGAAAUCACAGUACCGUCCCUUUAAUGUGAAAUAUCGUAAGGUGCUGUUGUCCCUCAACAUGAUGUAAAUUGCUGCGGUUGCUGGUGAAGACGUUCAUAUAAUGGUGUUUUCUCUGAGUUACGAGGAGUACUUUGACUCAUUAAAGAUGCCGGAGAUAACGCUGAUGAAUCUUGUGAGCUGGGUUGCUGCCACAGCCAUGAUAUUUGGCGGUGUUGUGCCGUUCAUUCCUCAGUAUAUGGACAUACAAAGGACCAAGAAUGCAGAGGGGUUUUCUCUCUUUGUUUGUUUAACAUUACUCAUUGCCAACAUUCUAAGGAUAAUGUUCUGGUUCGGCAAGCAUUUUGAGUUGCCGCUGCUGGCUCAGAGCAUCAUCAUGACCGGCACCAUGAUGUUGAUGGUACGCCUGUGUGUCAACAUCAAGCAUAAGAGUGAGAUCAUCUCCUCCAAACCCAGGUACUUCAUGGAUUCUAAACACUGGGAAGGCCACGGUGGCUCAUCACAUACGUUGCUGGAUUUUGAUCUUGACUACUUCUGGAAGUGGACGGACUUCCUGAGCUAUGUGGAGUUCAUGGCCACCUUCACCGUGGCGGUGGGGAUGCUCACCUACCUCCUGCUGGACUUCACCGUCUACAUUGAGACCAUUGGCUUCCUGGCGGUGUUCGCAGAGGCCAUGCUGGGAGCACCACAGUUCUACCGCAACUACCAGAAUAAAUCAACUGUAGGCAUGAGCAAGAAGAUGGUGGGUUUCUGGACAAUGGGAGACAUCUUUAAAACAAUCUAUUUCAUCCUGAGGUCAUCCCCAGCCCAGUUCUGGAUCUGCGGGAUGCUGCAGGUGUCCAUUGACAUCUCCAUCUUCGUCCAAGUGUACAUGUAUCGCCAUCACCCUCCAGCCAAGGUCAUCAAGUCUGCCAGAAGCUGACCUUGACUCUAAGGUCACAUAAUUAUUGUUGAACUGUUUAGAGGAUCACCACUCAAGCAAGCAUAAUUGGCCAAUAAUAAAGAGAUUUGGUCAAUCUCAUCUACAUCUGAUGUUUACUCCUGUACUUUUCUGCAGGGAGAUCUGACGAUACCUGCAUUGGAAGUCGCUUCAGGUGAACUUUUAAAUCAGCCAAGUCUUGCUCUACAAGUGAGCUAAGCAUUCAGACUGGCACAUCUGAUUUCUAUAUCUUGAAAAAAAAUAUAGUCAGGCAGUUCCAAGUGUAAAAAAUGAAACCAUGCUGUUAUUUUGUUGUGUAUAUUUUAUGCAUUCUGACAUUUCUGAGUGCCAUGGGUGUACUAUCAAGGGUAUAUUUGUGUUCUGUGGCGGAUUUCUUUUGCUAAGAUCGAAAUUUCUGACAUCUGAUUAGCUGAAGAACCCAUGAAUCAUGAACUUAGAUUGGGAAUUCAAAGUUUCUAUGCAGUUGUCCGCAGAUCUUGAUGCAGAGAGUUAUCGUACAAGAGUACACAUCUGAUGUCAAUGAGAUUGGGAUGUGCACUGUCGGAGGUGGUGUGGUCCUGAGAGUGUGAUAUGCUACAUAUCCCUGUGGUCCAUGUGAGAGUCUGUGUUAUACAUGAGGGUUAGCAUAGUGGUACACUGGUAGUAGAUGCAUUUAAUUUCUGAGAUGAAGGACGGCCCAUAUUUGUUAUAUGUCUGGUUAUGUCAUGUCUACGGUAUUAUAUGUACAGCCUUGGAAAUUCCUUGUUUUAUGACCAGUGCAAAUGUUACUAGUCAUUGAGGACUACUGUCAUUGAGCUUGGAUUUUAUAUACUGUUUGUAGACAUCAUAUAUGAUAGAUAAUAUAUCAUGUAUUGUACAUGAGCUAUAUCAUAUAUUAUCACUGAGCGAUCAUAAAUUGUCAGUGAGCUGUCAUAUAUUGUCCAUGAGCUAUCACAUAUUAUCACUGAGUGAUCAUAAAUUGUCAGUGAGCUGUCAUAUAUUGUCCAUGAGCUGUCACAUUUGGUCAUUGAACUGUCACGUAUGGUCAAUGAACUGUCACGUAUGGUCAAUGAACUGUCAUGUAUGGUCAGUGAACAGUCAUGUAUGGUCAGUGAACAGUCACGUAUGGUCAGUGAACUGUCACAUAUGGUCAAUGAACUGUCACGUCCAUGAACUGCCACGUGUGGUCCAUGAACUGUCAAGUCCAUGAACUGCCACGUGUGGUCCAUGAACUGCCACGUGUGGUCCAUGAACUGUCACGUCCAUGAACUGCCACGUGUGGUCAAUGAACUGUCACGUCCAUGAACUGCCACGUGUGGUCCAUGAACUGUCACGUAUGGUCCAUGAACUGUCAUGUAUGGUCCAUGAACUGUCACGUAUGGUCCAUGAACUGUCACGUAUGGUCAGUGAACUGUCACGUAUGGUCCAUGAACUGUCACGUCCAUAAACAGUCACGUCCAUGAACUGCCACUUAUGUUCAUGAACUGUCAUGUAUGGUCCAUGAACUGUCAUGUCCAUGAACUGCCACGUGUGGUCCAUGAACUGUCAUGUAUGGUCCAUGAACUGUCAUGUAUGGUCAGUGAACUGUCAGGUAUGGUCCAUGAACUGUCACGUCCAUGAACUGCCACGUGUGGUCCAUGAACUGUCAUGUAUGGUCCAUGAACUGUCAUGUAUGGUCCAUGAACUGCCACGUGUGGUCCAUGAACUGUCAUGUAUGGUCCAUGAACUGUCAUGUUUGGUCCAUGAACUGCCACGUGUGGUCCAUGAACUGUCACGUGUGGUCCAUGAACUGUCACGUCCAUGAACUGUCAUGUAUGGUCCAUGAACUGUCCAACUGCCACGUGUGGUCCAUGAACUCUCAUGUAUGGUCCAUGAACUGUCAUGUAUGGUCCAUGAACUGCAACGUGUGGUCCAUGAACUGCCACGUGUGGUCCAUGAACUGUCACGUCCAUGAACUGCCACGUGUGGUCCAUGAACUGUCACGUCCAUGAACUGCCACGUGUGGUCCAUGAACUGUCACGUAUGGUCCAUGAACUGUCACGUCCAUGAACUGCCAUGUGUGGUCCAUGAACUGUCAUGUAUGGUCCAUGAACUGUCAUGUAUGGUCCAUGAACUGUCAUGUAUGGUCCAUGAACUGCCACGUGUGGUCCAUGAACUGUCAUGUAUGGUCCAUGAACUGCCACGUGUGGUCCAUGAACUGUCAUGUAUGGUCCAUGAACUGUCACGUGUGGUCCAUGAACUGUCACGUCCAUGAACUGCCACGUGUGGUCCAUGAACUGUCACGUCCAUGAACUGCCACGUGUGGUCCAUGAACUGUCAUGUAUGGUCCAUGAACUGUCACGUCCAUGAACUGCCACGUGUGGUCCAUGAACUGUCAUGUAUGGUCCAUGAACUGUCAUGUAUGGUCAGUGAACUGUCACGUAUGGUCCAUGAACUGUCACGUCCAUAAACUGCCACGUGUGGUCCAUGAACUGUCAUGUAUGGUCCAUGAACUGUCAUGUAUGGUCCAUGAACUGCCACGUGUGGUCCAUGAACUGUCAUGUAUGGUCCAUGAACUGUCACGUCCAUGAACUGCCACGUGUGGUCCAUGAACUGUCAUGUGUGGUCCAUGAACUGUCACGUCCAUGAACUGCCACGUGUGGUCCAUGAACUGUCAUGUAUGGUCCAUGAACUGUCAUGUAUGGUCAGUGAACUGUCAGGUAUGGUCCAUGAACUGUUACGUCCAUGAACUGCCACGUGUGGUCCAUGAACUGUCACGUAUGGUCCAUGAACUGUCAUGUAUGGCCCAUGAACUGUCACAUAUGGUCUAUGAACUGUCACGUAGGGUCCAUGAACUUUCACGUAGGGUCCAUGAACUGUCACGUUUGGUCAGUGAACUGUCACGUAUGGUCAGUGAACUGUCACGUAUGGUCAGUGAACUGUCACGUAUGGUCUAUGGGAUGUGAUUUAUGAUGUUUGGACAGAUCAAGUUAUGGGUACACCUUUAAUAAAUUCUAAGAAUUUUUAUUCCACGGUGGGUAUUAAAAUGGACACUGUCAGUCCUAGGUGUCGUUUCCGGAACAGAUCUUGAAAACCUUAGAAUAUUUUUUCACCAAACUUGGCACAUAGAUAGGUCUAGUUGUGAACUGGUGCCUUUUUUUUCCAAAAACAUAUUUUUCGAGUUUCCGUGGCAACAACUUUGACUUUGGUUGGAAAUGGCGAUAGUGCUUGUUUAUAUAAACUAGUUGACGUAUUAACAGCAAAUAUUUACCUUUGCAAGGGAUUUCAAUGACUUUGUCCUCUUGUUUUCAUUUUCAAGUUUGAUGGUUGUUGUAGCAACUACCAGUAGUCUUCAUGAAGUGUCUAACUCAUUACCAUGUGAUGGAGGAAACACUUGGGAUGUCGCAGUUUUGCAUGAAUGUUUUUUGCGAAUGUUAUAGUUUUUUGGACAAUACUGCAGGCUGUCAAUAACAUUAACUAGGAUUACAAAUAUGGGUGUGCACAGUUUUUAAAACAGUUUGGAAUGCUAACCAACCGCAACUGGUUAUCUGAGAAAUUGUGACAGACCUAGUAACAUUGUCUUGGAACAUAUAGCUCAUAGACAACAUAUCAUAGCUCAUAGACAACAUAUCAUAGCUCAUAGACAAUAUAUCAUAGCUCAUAGACGACAUAUCAUAGCUCAUAGACGACAUAUCAUAGCUCAUAGACGACAUAUCAUAGCUCAUAGACGACAUAUCAUAGCCCAUUGACUAUAUGUGAUAGCUUGUGGAUCAUAUGUGACAGCUCAUAGACCAGGCCCAGCAAUAUGACAAUACAGUCUAUGGCCUGUCAGGUGUGAGCUAAUAUUUUGAACUUGUGUUUAUUGUUGAUAAAAUCAUUCAUGUAUAACCUGGUCUGUGAUCAGUCAUGUACUGUCUGGGGUCUACCAUGUUUCAUCUACGAUCUACCAUGUAUGGUCUUUGAUCUGUUAUCUUUCAUGUAUUGUCUAGGGUCUACCAUGUUUCAUCUACGAUCUACCAUGUAUGGUCUUUGGUCUUUUAUCUUUCAUGUAUUGUCUAGGGUCUACCAUGUUUCAUCUACGAUCUACCAUGUAUGGUCUUUGAUCUGUUAUCUUUCAUGUGUCUAGGGUUUCUCACGUAUUGUCCAAGGUCUGUUAAGUUUCAUUAUACCUAUGGCCCACUCCACAAAGCGAUCUUUAGUCGUAAGUCUUUGCUAAGUAUCAAGUUACGGUCAUCUUUGUGGAACGGGGCUUGUGUGGGCUGAUUGAUAAGAUGUACACCAAACAGUUCUUAAGCCCAACAUUGUGCAAUCCUUCACGUUGAUUCCUCAGGAUGAGUUGUAGACUGUUAUAUCAUGUAAUCAUGAGUUUGUGGUUUAGAAGCUUGUUGCUGUAGCUACAGGACUUUGCCAGUCUGUGACAUAGAAAGUCAUCUAUAAACAAUGGUGUUCUAGCUGUAGGAAAUUAGAAUAUUCUGCAUCCCAGCAUCUUCCCGAGGCAAGGGAGUUACUAACUAUAAAAAGCUAGUCCAAUCAAAAUCGUGUAAACGAACUAGACAUCCCUUUCGUUAACAACAUGGAUUUCAACGUGCAGAUUUCGGUUGACUGCAGGAUUUGCAAAGCUUGUGUACCGUCCACGGCAAAUGUUUUCAUGAUUUUAAUCAAGGUGCUCAAGUGAUUUGAUGCACUUCACUGGGUAAGAGCAGUUUUAUUACAAACAGACCUGGAUUACCGAUCAGAUCGUCUUGACUGGGCAACACCAUUCCUUUUGAAGCAAAUACAAGUGAUAUGAGAGAUGGAAUCUGAUUGGUCAAUAGGAGGGCCAUGGAAGGGACAUAACUCGUGAUAGUCACUGGUGGCGCAACAAUCGAGCCCAGAAAUUCCAGCCAAGUUUGGCAAGGGUAGAAACUGGACAUUAAAAGUCAGGUAACGCCCUUGUCUCGGGAAGGUGCAUAUCCAGUGGGCUAGAAAACAUAUUCCUGAUAUCUGUUUAUUGGGAUAUCCUUUUCAGUUUACUUGCUUUUUCAUUAUCAAACUGACAAAACAUGGUAUAUACUGUUUAACACAAACCCACUUUACUCACUGAAUACGGGUCACCACCUCUUGGUGUUCUUUGACAAGUCAAGAUUUGUACGAGUAUUGCACUUGGUGCUGGAUAGUGAAAACCUAUAGGAGGUAGGGAUUAGGUUUAAUGAAGCUGUGUUAAGAUAUACAGACUGAGACUAUAUGCCGGUUAAUGCUGAUGGCAGUUUUUCAUUAAACUAUGACAUGGAUGUGAGCAGGUUUAAUUAUUCUAAGAUGGCAUUGUACUUCUGGGAAGACAGGUAUAGUUGUUAGUUAAAAGGCAUACAAAUUCAAUAUUUUAAUCAGAAUGUUAGAUUCCGGUAGUCCAAAUCAUAUCGUACCCUAAAUAUGUCAGUAAAUGGAAACAGUGUUAUGGGCAUAAGGACAGUCCCGGGGAUGGGAGAUUUCCAUCUAAAGUAAAAAAAACUAAACUAAAAAAAGAACUUUAAUAAGUUCCCAGGGCAAACAUAUUCAUCCUGUUCAUGAUAAUAAUCACCUUGAUACAUGUGUAUUCCUCUACUUUUUCCCGAAUACAUUGGCCACAGAUCUUAUGACACGUUACCUUUAGCCUUUUUAGACAGAACUUCUACUUCUGUCAACAUGGCACCUGUCACUGCAUAAUAUCAAACUGAUGCUUCAGGGAAUACUUCUUCCAACCAUGAAGUGGUGGCACUUUACGUUGUAUUGGCUCACCUGAAUUGAAGUUCUUUCAUGAAACCUGAUAAAUAUAACCGUAAGGAAAAAUCAAACUGCUUCAAAUGGUAUGUUUUGGAUGGUCAAAAUGGUGAAGAGAAAUAUGCUGUGAAACCCUGUUAAUUCAGACCCUUCUGAUCUGGCAAGAUCCUGCUUUUUAUCAGUUUUCCUCAUGAUAGGAUCUUGGUUUAGAGUUAUCUCCCUUUAGUCAUACAUUGCAUUGUGUGAUAGAUAAUCCCAAAUAAGGGAUGUCCUGUCUAACUGGGUCUGGAUUAAAAAGGUUUCAGUGUGUAUAUUGUGCUUUAAUAUAAUAAUAUCAAAAAUAUAUGGGCAAAUAGUGAUAGAUGUCUUAUUUUGUUGAGACUGUAGAGGGCAGCUGAUAUUUCCGAUUCAGAGUCCUGUUUCAUGGAGUAGUAGCAUUAUGGAUAUCUUACUUCUGUAUUAAACAGUGGGAGCGCGACCAUCGCUUUGUGAAAUAGCCACCUGUGUUAACAACAUUGUAAACCCUCACAAGUGAGGGUAUGUGUCCUCAUCUCCUCAGGUGUGAAAAUGACUCAUGAAUAUGUCAGUUUUACAUUAGCAUUAUGUUAUGUUAUGUAUAUUAAGAGCAAUAGCAACAGCCAGUCAGAUCAUGGAGUUGUCUAGAUGAAAUAAAUAAAUAAAUAAAUACAUGUAAAUAAAUAAAUAAAUAAAUAAAUAAAUAAAUAAAUACAUGUAAAUAAAUAAAUAAAUAAAUAAAUAAAUAAAUAAAUACAUGUAAAUAAAUAAAUAAAUAAACUUCGUUUGUUUAAAUAGUUGCAUGUGUGAAGAUCAUUUGAAAAGUGUUUGUGUACAACAAAGACGCCGGACACAUGCCUGAAAAUUCAAUGGUUGUCCCCUUAGGCAAGUGUCAGCAGGGUUGUAUAUUGUACAUGUAGUGAGUGUUAUGUGCUGCAGCCAGUGUGAAGUGCCUUACUGCAGCAGUGUUGGGCUGGCUUGUACUUGUAGCAGAAAAUACCAGCGUCCUGGACACCUGGUUCAUCCUCGACUACCCAGGGUAUUAUAUCUAGUUUCUAUUUGGAUAAAUACCCUGGACCCAUUCGCUGUAUUUGCUUUGUUUUAAGCUUGAUUUAAAAAGCAAAUUUCUCUCAUGAGCGAGAAGAAUUCUGCCCUAAGUUAGGCAUAGGAGUGAUUGACAUCAUGUCUAAAAUGAAGCUAUGGUCCAGGGUAUUUAUGAUGGAAUUGAACUGUCGUACACUGCAUAGUUGAGGAUGGGUUCAGUUGGAAGUAGUUUUGCUUUAUUUCUCACGUAUUAAAGGCCACACUUUGUUUUACUUGCUUUACGGAUAUUGCAACAGAAAUAUUUUCUAAACAAGGACCCACUUGACAUAUAUUAAACAUCAGAGUCAAAAUAAAGUUUGUUGUCAAACCUGAAAUUGAUAGGAUGCUUUGAUGCACAGCAGUAUUCCUGCUAGAUUCGUCAGGUUUGCACUGCUUACAUCAAAAGCAGGCUCUCCUCCCACAUUUUAUCCACCUGUAGUGGAGGAGAUAACUUAUUUUUUCUCAUGAAUUUUGUUUUUUGUUGUUAUUUUGUUUUCCCACCUACCGACAGGUAUUUCCUAUAAACAAUCUGUAAAGCAAGUUAAAAAAGUGGUCUAAUGUAUGUUGCUUGAAAGUAGAAUGAGUUACAGAGAGAAUUAGUUAGACACAGCUGUGAACAUUAUUUCAUUUACAUCACAUGUGUGCUAACGAUGGAAUCCUGUCCUCCCCCUAUAAUGACCAUACCCCUGCUUGUGGGUUUCACUAAAGUGGUAGACAUCGAUGACUUGCAUCAAGCUGACACACUGUGAUGUAACUGAACACUGUUCAAAGCCACUGACUCUCUGUACCAUAUAUUAUCAGUAGAGAUAAUGCCAACAGUCAGAUCACUCCAGAAACAUUAAUGAAAUGAGAUUUUGAAAUGAUAAUGUUUAUAGAAUCUGAAAUAAUAUGAAAAACUGAAAUCUUAUCGCAUGCAAUUCACUUUACAAAAUGCCAAGGCAGUCCCUAUCGAUUAAUUAGAGGUUCUUGGUGUUCAUAUUUUUUGUGUAGAUUAGCCCAGUUGGAAACACAAAACCAGGCUUUUAUUGAUGAAUCUGAUGUUGAACUGGACAUGGCUUCUGUCCAGCACCUGCCUUCAUUAUAUGCAUCUGUGUUGUUUGGUGACCAGAAAAUCUGUUAUUUUGGGACCAGCUUGUUUUUAUGGUUUUAGUCCCGAGUGACAUGCUCACUGUGCAUGCUGCCCCAUCAGCCUGUGUAUUCCUGGGAGAUGGGCAGCGACACCCACUAUUUUUAUAUGCUGUAGAUAUGGUACUUUCAAGACACCAAAUAAAUCAUUAAACAUCA
This 9088-nucleotide unclassified non-coding RNA is filed under the name Haliotis rufescens (red abalone). RNAcentral's name for it is "solute carrier family 66 member 2-like, transcript variant X6". Lineage: Eukaryota; Metazoa; Mollusca; Gastropoda; Lepetellida; Haliotidae. The record is from RNAcentral.